AGAACUUAGCAGAGAUGCUUUGGUGCCUUCGGGAACUCUGAGACAGGUGCUGCAUGGCUGUCGUCAGCUCGUGUUGUGAAAUGUUGGGUUAAGUCCCGCAACGACGCGCAACCCUUAUCCUUUGUUGCCAGCGGUCCGGCCGGGAACUCAAAGGAGACUGCCAGUGAUAAACUGGAGGAAGGUGGGGAUGACGUCAAGUCAUCAUGGCCCUUACGAGUAGGGCUACACACGUGCUACAAUGGCGCAUACAAAGAGAAGCGACCUCGCGAGAGCAAGCGGACCUCAUAAAGUGCGUCGUAGUCCGGAUUGGAGUCUGCAACUCGACUCCAUGAAGUCGGAAUCGCUAGUAAUCGUAGAUCAGAAUGCUACGGUGAAUACGUUCCCGGGCCUUGUACACACCGCCCGUCACACCAUGAGAGUGGGUUGCAAAAGAAGUAGGUAGCUUAACUUUCGGGAGGGCGCUUACCACUUUGUGAUUCAUGACUGGGGUGAAGUCGUAACAAGGUAGGCGUAGCGAG
This 518-nucleotide ribosomal RNA is filed under the name uncultured bacterium. RNAcentral's name for it is "bacterial SSU rRNA". It matches the Rfam family "Bacterial small subunit ribosomal RNA", at positions 992 to 1509 of the family's 1533-position model. The record is from RNAcentral.